GCAGUACAAAUAUUCCGUUUAUGCCUGACAUUUUAAAAGACAAACAGAAUGUAAAUCAUAU
RNAcentral lists this small RNA (61 nucleotides) under Staphylococcus aureus. Its description in RNAcentral is "Antisense". The record is from RNAcentral. Lineage: Bacteria; Bacillati; Bacillota; Bacilli; Caryophanales; Staphylococcaceae.